CAUCGAUGAUCUCUCUGUACUUUGCUCUGUCAAUCUUUCCCUCGAUGCUGACUCGUCUCCCAGUCCCUGGCACUGAAAAACAUCCCCACAGCAUGAUGCUGCCACCACCUUUCUUCACGAGAGUCCUUUAGGUGCCUUUUGGCGAACUCCAAGUGGGGUGUCAUGUGCCUUUUACUGAGAAGUGGCUUCUGUUUGGCCACUCUACCAUCUCCACAGAGGAACUCUGGAGCCCUGUCAAAGUCAACUGUGGGACCUUAUAUAGACAGCUCAGGCAGUGUGAGGUUUUCCCUACCCAGGCAGAGAGAGCCAGGAGUGGGGGAGGGGGAGACGAGGGGAGACGAGCGCCGGAGCUUGAAUUAUGGAUUUUGAAAGAUUUACCAUUGCUGCUGGACUGCGGAUGUUCGAAUGAAGAGAGAGGGUGACAAAGAGAGC
This 432-nucleotide long non-coding RNA is filed under the name Salmo salar (Atlantic salmon). RNAcentral's name for it is "lncRNA (ENSSSAG00000102609.1)". Lineage: Eukaryota; Metazoa; Chordata; Actinopteri; Salmoniformes; Salmonidae. The record is from RNAcentral.